AUUGAACGCUGGCGGCAUGCCUUACACAUGCAAGUCGAACGGUAACGCGGGGCAACCUGGCGACGAGUGGCGAACGGGUGAGUAAUAUAUCGGAACGUGCCCAGUAGUGGGGGAUAGCCCGGCGAAAGCCGGAUUAAUACCGCAUGAGACCUGAGGGUGAAAGCGGGGGAUCGCAAGACCUCGCGCUAUUGGAGCGGCCGAUAUCAGAUUAGGUAGUUGGUGGGGUAAAGGCCUACCAAGCCGACGAUCUGUAGCUGGUCUGAGAGGACGACCAGCCACACUGGGACUGAGACACGGCCCAGACUCCUACGGGAGGCAGCAGUGGGGAAUUUUGGACAAUGGGCGCAAGCCUGAUCCAGCCAUUCCGCGUGCAGGAUGAAGGCCUUCGGGUUGUAAACUGCUUUUGUACGGAACGAAACGGCGAGCUCUAAUACAGUUUGCUAAUGACGGUACCGUAAGAAUAAAGCACCGGCUAACUACGUGCCAGCAGCCGCGGUAAUA
Molecule: ribosomal RNA, 501 nt
Filed under: uncultured bacterium
Lineage: Bacteria
Description: bacterial SSU rRNA
Rfam family: Bacterial small subunit ribosomal RNA
Source: RNAcentral